GCGGUGUGCGUUAUCAGAUCGUAGCUGAUGUGGGACUUUUCACGGCAACCUAUUAAUUUAGGUUGCUUUGAGAGCCUUCUUUUUGAGAAUCGCUUUCACCCUUCACUGGUGUGACUGUGGAGCUCAAAUCGUUUACUUUGAAAAAAUUAGAGUGUUCAAAGCAAGUUUUAUGCGACUGAAUACAUUAGCGUGGAAUAAUAGAAUAGGACUGAGUUCUAUUUUGUUGGUUUAUAGAAUGAAGUAAUGAUUAAUAGGGACAGUUGGAGGCAUCAGUACCCCGAUGCUAGAGGUGAAAUUCGAUGAUUAUCGGGUGACUAACUACUGCGAAAGCAUUUG
This 336-nucleotide ribosomal RNA is filed under the name uncultured eukaryote. Its description in RNAcentral is "bacterial SSU rRNA". It matches the Rfam family "Eukaryotic small subunit ribosomal RNA", at positions 625 to 957 of the family's 1831-position model. The record is from RNAcentral.